GAGGGUAUAGCUCAGUGGUAGGGUGCGUGUCUAGCAUACGUGAGGUCCUGAGUUCAGACCCCAGUAUCUGCA
Molecule: transfer RNA, 72 nt
Filed under: Camelus bactrianus (Bactrian camel)
Lineage: Eukaryota; Metazoa; Chordata; Mammalia; Artiodactyla; Camelidae
Also listed under: 2 other names
Rfam family: tRNA
About the family: Transfer RNA (tRNA) molecules are approximately 80 nucleotides in length.
Source: Rfam by way of RNAcentral